Long non-coding RNA from Cavia porcellus (domestic guinea pig), 9289 nucleotides. RefSeq lists it as uncharacterized. The transcript has 3 exons. Lineage: Eukaryota; Metazoa; Chordata; Mammalia; Rodentia; Caviidae. The record is from RefSeq and is a predicted model, not a curated record.
ACACAUCACUCAUGACCAAGUUUCAGGAAGGAACCUGAGGCUGCUGACUUGGAUCUCAGUGGCCUUCCUCCUCCUGCUGCUUGCACUCCUAGUGCUCUUGCAACUCCAGCAUAAGCACCACUACAGAAGGCAGUUCCUAGCUCGGCUGCCACUUCAUCAGAGGACUCCUGCAGCCAUGAGGAAGCUGACUCUGAGGUCCCCCAUGAAGUGACCUAUGCCCAGCUGAACAGCAUCAAGAUGAGAUGGGAAGCAACCACAACCCCCUCCUCCCAGGAAGAGGAGCUCCAAGCUGUGCCCAGUUUGUAUGCCCACCUCGCUGUUCUCCAGCACAGGAGAGAUCUCAGGCCACACAGCGCAAGUACUGAGACAUGAGCAUGGGUUGGAACAGACCAACCCCAUGGACAUUCAGAUUGUAAACAGCAGCUGCCUGGACCCAUGGUAUGAACAGUCAAUGACUCCUGUGAUAUUUUAAAAUAGUUUGAUUCCACAGUGAGUCAUAGCUAACAUAGCACGUCUGGGAAAUAUAAUAACCCUUUUAUUUAAAUAAUGACUGUGUAAAAGAAGAAACUCCAAACCUAGUGCAAAAUGUAUGAUAAUGAAAACUUGCACAUGAAAUUGAUGAAAUGCAAGACAUGAGGACUUUUAAAAUAACUCAAAAUCUUAAAAAUUCAGAAUGGAAAAGUGUCUCAAAAUAAGUCAGUGAUUCAAGUGCACAUCACAAGAAAGAAAGAGCAAAUGAGGUUUUGAAAGUGGUAUCAAGAAGGAAAUAAUAAUUGUAAUAUGCAGAGUAAUUCAAUUCUGCACUUCAGGCUCUGGAGCUAACCAAACUCCAGUUGAGUGGGGCUGCAAGUUUUGUGUUCCCAAGUGUUUGUGGUUUCAAGGGGAGAAGUGUUCCUGGCAUUGCAGAGGUCUCUUGGAGGGCAGAAGAGACUAAAAGCUUUUCCUGCAGAAAACAGAAAGGUCCACUGUCUGUAGCAGGGAUGCCUCAGCAGGGGCCUGGUGAGACACAAAGGCUGUGAAGUAGGGAGCCUGGCACCUGGGCUCAGGAGGGGAUGGGCCUCCCCUGUGCUCACCAGGGAAGGGACAGAGCAGUAGUCUGUCCAGCAGGGGCAGAGCAGGUCAGCAGCCCCUCAGCAUUUCCCAGUUAAUUGGGCAUCUUAACAAGAUUGUACAUGGAACUGCUUUAGAGGAUUCAUUUGGCCUUUUCACACUUAUUAUUGUGUUUGAAAACAUGAACAUGUUUCGGGUUUUGUUUAGCACUGCUGUGUCUUGAAUUCCACAUGGAUCCCAGAGAGGAUUAUAGUCCUUCCAGCCUAUAGAUCUUUGUAGAAAUGAAGCAGAGACCAAUUUUUUUUCUGCACAGGACACAGAUGUGGAGAAAGACAGAAGCCACAUGUGAGAUCAGAGCUCCCAAGAGAAUGGCAGACUCCCACCCCUGCCCACAACUCCCUGGCUGCUCUCUGAACACCCUACUUCCCCCACCACACUGCCUGCCCUGCCACUCAGCCUAAAGCUGGAGGACAACUCUGCCAGGGAAGAACAGGGCCACGUGGGGAGGAGAACUGGGCUGGGUAGGUGACAGCCAUCACAAGGAUGAGCAGAAAUGCUUCUCCUCACAGGUGUGAGAGAGCAGGUAUUCCUCUCCUGCAUGGCCUUAGCCAAUUCCUACUCUCACUGUACUAUGUGGUGUGAGAGCUAAGGUGUCCUAGAAAGACAAACCCCUUGUUCUGUUUCCCUCCCUGCUACCUGCUGUGCUACUGUGAAAGACUGGAAGGUAGUGUUUCUAUUUUAAAUGUUGGGAGGAGCUUCCAUCUCUUCCCCACCAUGGCUGUAAUUACUCACAAUCCCACCAAGAGAAUAGGGUUUCUCCUCUCCCCACAGCCUUGCCAGAAUUUUCUGCUUGACUAUUGAUCAUAGAUACUCUAAUGAUGUGAGGUGAUACCUCAGUGUGGGGUUCAUUUUCAUUACCCUGAUGAAGGGUGAGUAUCUUGUCAUGUAGCUGUGGACCAUCCAUAUGUCUUGGUUUUGUUUUUAUUUUUAAGGUUUUUUUUUUUUUUUUUUUUGGUACCAGGAAUAAAACUCAGGACCUUGUACUUCCAGGCAGGCUCUUGUGUCACUGAGCUAUUUCCCCAGUGCUUUCAGCACUUGUGUUGGUUUGAAAAAUGUCUUCAAGAAGGUUCUGCAUACUUUGAUGGUGUUUGUGCUGAGCCCGUGGGUCACUUUUGGUAGUAUGGGAGUUGUGGCAAUGUUAAUACUCCCAACUCAUCAAUCCAGAAUGUCAGUCUGCACAUUUGUAUCCUCCUGAUAAAGAUUUCUUUGAGAAGAUCUAUUCUCACACCACAGGUGCCCCACCUGGAGGAGGGAGCUGAGCCAGCUACAGGUACCUGCUAGGUCCUUGCUGAUGACCUCUCCACAGGGAGAGCACAGGGCAGCUGUGCCGCCUGCAGGUUGGAGCUGAGCUGAGCCAUGGGAACCUGCUUGGGCCUUGCCUGCAAACUUCUCUUGGCCUGGAGAGCACCAGAACUACUGCCACCACAUGGGAAGGAGCAGCCCUGCAGAGGAGGUUUGAGGCCUAUCUAGGCCAUGGAGGUGAUCUUCUUUCAGCCUGGGGAGCUUUGCCACACAAGGAGGUGGAUGGUUACACUACAUCCAAUCUCUGGGAGAGUUUGAGAUACUUGCUCUAGGUGGAUGGGGGCUUGCUCUGCCUCUGGCCACACUAGAUUGGGCUUAGCAGGAAACUUGCCAGCCUGGACCAUACCUGGUGGCCUUCUUUCCAUCACAGGAGCUUUGCUGCCAGAGAGGGGACCUGUGAAGCUUGUGGAGGAAUUAGGCCUAGCUGAGACAAGCCUGGCAACAUUCUUUUAAUCUGGGGGCAUCGCUGCCCAAGGAGCAAACUACAUUACCAGAGGAGUCUCACGAGGCAAGGACAUAGGAGAUAAUUUCCAACAAUCCCAGGGGAAGCUUUGGAACAACCCUUGAAACAUGAAAAUAUAGGAAAAACACAAAACAACAGACCAAAAUGGAAUCUCUAACAUCUAGCCCAUCCCAAGAAAGCCUAGGAGCCAUGUACAUAGAAGAAAACACAUGCCAUAUGCCUGAAACACCUAAAAUAAUAGUAACUGAAAUAAAGAAACAACUCCAGGAAGCUUUAAAGGAAUUCAGAUGAGAAAUAAUCUUCCAGGAAAAAGAAGAAAUGAUAAAAGUAAUAACUGAGAUGCUGAACACAUCUAAAUAAGACACAGUUAAAAAAUCAGAGGAACAAAACAAAAGGAUAGAAUCCCUGGAUGGACAAUAUAAGAAACAAACAGAAUACAUAAAGCAGAUUUAAAGAGAUAUACAAGAAAUCAAAACUUACAUUGAAAGUUGUCAAAACCACCUCACCGAAAGUGAAGAUAGAAUUUCAGAUCUCAAAGACAAGAAUGCAGCUAGUGAACAGGAAAGGAAUGAUCUCUUAACAAUAACAAGAAAUCAGGAAAUAACAAUUCAACACCUGCAAGAUGACACAAAGAGAAACAACAUAAGGUGAUAGGGAUAAAUGAAAAAGAAGGGGACAACAUAAAGAAUGUCAAGAGGAUAUUUAGAGAAGUAAUAGCUGAAAAUUUCCCAAACAUGAGAUUGGAAACUGAUAUCAAGAUCAGUAAAGCAUACAGAACUCCAAAUAGCCAUAACCAAAAUAAAACUACAGCCAGACAUAUAACAAUCGCCAUCCCAGAAAUCGAACAAAAGAAUAGAACAUUAAAAGCUGUCAGAGAAAAAAGACAGAUCACCUAUAAAGGAAAAACCUGUCAGAAUCACAGAAGACUUCUCAGCACAUACAAUAAAAUCAAGAAGGCAUGGAGUGAAGUAUUUCAUAACCUAAAAGAAAAUGACUUCCAACCUAGACUGAUGUACCCUGCAAAAGUGUCCUUCAAAAUGGAUGGAGAAAUGAGAUACUUCCAUGACAAAGAACAGCUGAAGAACUUCAUGAUCACCAAGCCAAACCGGCAAAGAAUACUGAAAGAGCCUAGAUGCAUUUAGGAAAAAACGACUAAGCAAAGCAGACACUUAAACAGAACUGAAAGAUAAAGAUGCAACAUCAGAAAGAUAACAUGUCAACAAUAAACCAAUAUAUAACAGUUAUAACCAUUAAUGUAAAUGGUCUCAAAUGUACCAAUCAAAAGAAACAGACUGGCAGAAUGGAUCAAGAACAAAAUCCAAUCAUAUAUUGUCCACAGGAAAACCAUUGAACCCAAAAGGAUACUCACAGACCAAAGUCAAAGGAUAGAAAACAAUACUUCAAGAAACAGGAACCCCCCCCAAAAAAACUAGGAGUAGCUAUUCUGUUUGAAAACAAUGUGAACUUCAAACCAAUAAUGAUUGGAAGGGAUAAAGAAGGUCACUACAUACUUGUGAGGGGAAAACUUCAAGAGGAAGAGAUAACUAUCUUAAAUAUAUGUGCACCAAAUUCCAAAGAACCCAGCUAUAUGAAACAAGUAUUAACAGAAAUGAAAAGCCAAAUUAGCAGCAGCACAAUUCUAACAGAAGAUUUUAACACACCAUUGACACCAGUGGACAGAUCAACCAGACAGAAAAUCAGCAAAGAAAAGAACUGAAUCACAGCUGUGAACAAAAGGAAUUGAUAAACAUAUACAGAGUAUUCCACCCAACAGCAAUAGAAUACACAUUCUUCUCAGCAGUAAAUGGGUCAUUCUCUAAAAUAGACCAUAUAUUAACUCACGGAAUGUAUUUAAAUAAAUGCAGAAGGGUUGAAACUAUCCCUUGCAUGCUAUCGGAUCUUAGUGCUAUGAAAUUAGAAAUUAAUGAUAAAAGAUAUUGGAAAAAUCCCACAAACACAUGGAAACUGAAUAACACACUCUUGAGUAAUCAGUGGGUAACAGAGGAAGUUAAAGAAGAAAUUAAACACGACCUACAAGAAAAUGAAAACACAAGUACAACUUACCGGAAUCUGUGGGAAGCAAUGAAAGCUGUCAUCAGAGGAAAAUUUAUUGCACUGAGUUCCCACAUCAGGAAAACAGAACCAAUACAAAUAAAUAACCUGAUGCUACACCUCAAAAAGCUAGAAAAAGAAGAGCAAGUCAAGCCCAAAAGAAGAGAAGAAAUUAUAAAAAUCAGAGCAGAAAUCAAAGCAAUAGAGACUAGGAAAACAGUCCAAAGAAGCAAAGAAACAAAGAGUUUGUUCUUUGAAAAAAUAAAUAAAAUUGAUAAGCCCCUAGCCAACCUUAUUUUAAAAAGGGAAGAAAAAGCUCAAAUUCAUGCAAUAAGGAAUGAAAGAGGAGAAAUCACUACAGACUCUAUAGAAAUACAGAAAAUCAUCAACACCUAUUUCAAAAACCUCUACUCUCAAAGGUUUGAUAACACAGAGGAAAUGGGCAGAUUCCUAGAAGCAUACGAAGUAGCGAUCAUGAAGAUGUAAAACUACAGAAUAACCCAAUUUCUAUUAAUGAAAUUGAAAACGUAAUUAAAUCCUUACCUACAAAAAAGAGUCCAGGCCCAGACGGAUUCACUACAGAAUUCUACAAGAAAUACAAAGAAGACCUAAUGCCAACACUCCUCAAACUCUUCAGUGAAAUUGAAAGGGAAGCAAUCCUUCCUAAAUCGUUCUUAGAAGCAAAUAUUACUCUAGUACCAAAACCUGAAAAGGACCCAAUUGAAAAAGAGGACUACAAACCAAUCUCCCUAAUGAACACAGAUGCAAAAAUUCUCAAUAAAAUAUUGGCAAAUAGGAUGCAGCAAAUCAUCAAGAAGAUCAUACACCAUGACAAAGUGGGAUUCAUCCCAGACAUGCAGGGAUGUAAAUCAAUAAAUGUAAUACACCAUAUCAAUAGAGCCAAAAGUAAGAACCAUAUGAUCAUUUCUACAGAUGCAGGAAAAGCUUUUGAUAAGGUCCACCAUUGAUUCAUGAUAAGAACCUUGCAGAAAAAUGGAAUAGAUGGUCUUUACCUCAAUAUAAUAAAGGCCGUCUAUGACAAAUCAACAGCCAUUAUCAUACUAAAUGGCCAAAAAUUAAAGGCCUUUACUUUAAAAUCAGGUACAAGAAAAGGAUAUCCCUUAUCACUGCUCCUAUUUAAUAUAGUGUUGGAAAUCCUAGCCAGAGCAAUUAGACAAGAGAGAGAAAUAAAAGGCAUAAAGACAGGAAAAAUAGAAGUUAAGCUAUCAUUAUUUGCAGAUUACAUGAUACUCUAUAUAGAAGAUCCCCAAAACUCCAUUGAAAGACUGCUAGAUAUAAUAAAUAAAUUCAGUAAUGCAGCUGGAUAUAGAAGCAAUAAUCAAAAAUCAAUAGCAUUCCUAUACACUAACAACCAAGUCACAGAGAGAGAAAUAAGAGAAGCCACACCCUUCACACUAGUAACGAAAAAAAAUGAAAUAUCUAGGAAUUACUCUCAUGAAAGAAGUGAAAGACCUGUACAUGAAAAAUUAUAAUACACUGAAAAAUGAAAUUGAAGAUGAUCUCAGAAAAUGGAAAGACAUCUCUUGCUCAUGAAUAGGAAGAAUAAAUAUUGUCAAAAUGGCCAUUCUCCCAAAACUUUUAUACAGAUUCAAUGCAAUCCUGAUAAAAAUACCAUCAAUAUACCUCACAGAACUCGAAAAACAACUCCUAAAAUUCAUCUGGAGUGAGAAGAGACCUAGAAUGGCAAGGACAGUUCUAAGCAGCAAAGGCAAGGCAGGAGGUAUCACAAUCCCUGACUUGAAGUUAUACUAAAAAGCAACCGUAGUAAAAUCAACAUGGUACUGGAACAAAAACAGAGCUGAAGAUCAGUGGAAUAGAUUAGAAGAUACAACCACAAUUACAAACAUUCAACCACCUUAUCUUCAAUAAAGGGGCCAAACAUGUUCACUGGGAGAACGACAGUCUCUUUCAUAAAUGGUGCUGGAAAAACUGGCUCUCCAUAUGCCGAAAACUAAAACUAGACCCAUGCCUAUCACCAUGUACUAAAGUAAAAUCUAAAUGGAUCAAGGAUCUAAAUAUUAAAACAGAAACACUAAAUCUAUUGGAAGAUAAAUUGGGUAAAAACCUUGAAGAUAUAGGAGUAGGUAGAGAAUUCAUGAAUAGGACUCAAAUUGCACAGCAAAUACUUCCCAGAGUCAAUAAUUAGGAUCACCUCUUAUUAAAAUGUUUCUGCACAUCAAGAGAAAUCUCCAGCAUAGUGAAAAGAAAACCCACAAACUAGGAAAAAAUUUUAGUGAACUACCCCUCAGACAAAGGACUUCUGUCUAAAACAUAUAAAGAAUAAAAAAAAUCAGACCCCCAAAAUUCAAAGACCUAAUCCCAAAAGUGGGCAUCUGAGAUAAAUAAACAAUUCUCUGAUGAAGAAAUACAAAGGGCAAAUAAAUAUAUGAAAAAAUGUUCAUCAUCAUUAGUCAUUAGAGAAAUGCAAAUUAAAAGCACACUGAGAUUUCAUCUCCCUCCUGAAAGAAUGGCCAAGAUCAACAAAACCAACAACAAUAAAUGCUGGAGAGGCUGUGGGGAAAAAGGAACUCUCCUGCCCUGUUGGUGGGAAUGUAGACUAGUCCAACCAUUGUGGAGGUCAGUCUGGUGAUUUCUCAGAAAACUGGGACUGCAAGCCCCAUUUGACACAGCUAUACCACUUCCAGGCAUAUUUCCAAAAGAACUGAAAGCAUCAUACCUCAGUGAUAUAUGUGCACCCAUGUUUAUAGCAGCACAAUUUGUAGUAGCCAGAUCUUGGAAACAACCUAAGUGUCCAUCAACUGAAGAAUGGAUAAAAAAGUUGUAGUAUUUUUAUACAAUGGAGUACUAUUCAGCUAUAAAGAAUGAUCACAUUGAGACAUUUAUAAAUAAAUGGAUGCAGCUUGAGACCAUACUUAUAAGUGAAAUAAAUCAAAAUCACAUGUAUACAUACCGAACAGUUUCCCUAGUGUAAGAAGUGGUAAGAAUACAUAAAAGUAUGUGGUAAUCAUUAUUCCCAGUCAUAUUGGUUUGAAGCCAUAUAAUGUUCUCACUCAUUAACUGCAAUGGUUUUAACCUGGGUUGUUCAAUUUUAUAUCUAUGAUAGCACAAAUAGGUAUUUUGAAGAAAACAACACAACAUUAAAGCUAGUGCUGAUUUAAUAUCAUCUUGUUUUGAAGUCCCAUCAAGCUGUGGUACAUCUGUUUCCACUGGUUUUAACAUGUUGUAUCUUACUAUAGUAUAAACAAAUCCUUUAUCAACAAAGAGAUAAUAAAGAAACCAUUGUUUUUUUUUCUAUUAGCUGGUUCUAAAUACCCUGUAAUUCUUGCAUUCUCUUGAAUGGCUUCACACUGUCUUGAUAUGCUUGAUGUUAUAGCAUACAAAGUUACACUCAAAUAAUUCAAGGAAAGAGGCACUAUGGCAACUACUAUCAUGUUAGAUUAUCUGGUGGUGAAACACAGUGAUGCUUGAAUGGUUCGGUUCUGCCCUGCGUUGUUCUGUUACAAUGUCUCUUAUCUCAAUAUCCCCCCUUUUUUGUAAUUAAUCUAUUUUCUCUCAUUUUUUUAAUUAAGGGAAAACUAAAUUAAAAAUAGCAGGACAUAUUAUAGUAACCUUCUUGGUUUUCCUAUUAACCUGAUUUGAACCCCAGUAUUUCUCUCCCCAUCUUGUUCUGUCUGAUUAUUCUAUAUUCUAUUUUGCUUGAUACUAUCAAGUUUGAGGGUAUAGGCAACCACUUUGAAGGCAAUAAGAUAUACUAUGAUUCCCAUUAUGGUUUGACUAUUAUCCUUUUUUUGAAGUCCUGCAAGGUCUUCAGCAUAGGUUUUAUUGGUCUUGUUCUGUACUGUUUUGAUCAAUUCUAUUAUACCUCAUGAUAUAGAGAACCCAAUUUAAAAAUAGCAAGUGGCACAAUGGUAACCACUUUUGAUCACCUGGUAUUCUAUUUUUGCAUCAUAUGCUAUGCCCACCCAUCUGUUCUGACUCUGUUUUGCUUAGUCACAUUUGGUUUUAUUCUCUUCAAAAAAAAAGUAAUAAGAACCAUGAGAGUAAUAAAACCCAAAAAGACUAAUUGUUAUUGUAAAAAAGAGAGGAAAGGAAGGUGGACUAAGGGAUAUAACAGCAGAUACGUUCGAGUGUACAGGAUGGAAAACUAUAUUACUGAGCUUUUGUUGGAUCAUUGAACCGAACUGUCUCCAAUUUCAUUGUACGAAUGUCCACUUUACAUGCUUUAAUUUUGUAAUUUGGACAACUGUUUCUGGGAAUAUGUAACCAAUUAACUGGUGAUUUCUUACUGUAUAUUUUUUUCCUUGAAAUACUGUAUUAUUUGUACCCUUUUACUGCUUUGUUUUUUUAUGUCCUUUUUUCUCUUUAAAUAAAAAAAGUUAC